Molecule: ribosomal RNA, 208 nt
Filed under: uncultured bacterium
Lineage: Bacteria
Description: partial 16S ribosomal RNA
Rfam family: Bacterial small subunit ribosomal RNA
Source: RNAcentral
CUCGUAGGCGGCUCAGUAAGUCGGGUGUGAAACCCUCAGGCUCAACCUGGGGACGCCACUCGAUACUGCUGUGGCUAGAGUCCAGUAGGGGAGUGUGGAAUUCCCGGUGUAGCGGUGAAAUGCGCAGAUAUCGGGAGGAACACCAGCGGCGAAGGCGGCACUCUGGGCUGGAACUGACGCUGAGGAGCGAAAGCGUGGGUAGCAAACA